UAGCUCAGAUGGUAAAGCGUCUGCUUGCAAUGCAGGAGACCCAGGUUCAACCCCUGG
This 57-nucleotide transfer RNA is filed under the name Bos taurus (domestic cattle). It matches the Rfam family "tRNA", at positions 8 to 63 of the family's 71-position model. From Rfam's summary of the family: Transfer RNA (tRNA) molecules are approximately 80 nucleotides in length. Their secondary structure includes four short double-helical elements and three loops (D, anti-codon, and T loops). Lineage: Eukaryota; Metazoa; Chordata; Mammalia; Artiodactyla; Bovidae. RNAcentral also lists the same sequence under 2 other names. The record is from Rfam by way of RNAcentral.